Molecule: long non-coding RNA, 3271 nt
Organism: Lagopus leucura (white-tailed ptarmigan)
Lineage: Eukaryota; Metazoa; Chordata; Aves; Galliformes; Phasianidae
Exons: 3
Source: RefSeq, a predicted model, not a curated record
CAGCUUUCCCUUUGAUAAAAGUGGAAUGAAGCAAGUGCUGAUAUGUGCAUGUAUGUCAGUGCUUCUGUAACGCUUGGAAUUGAAAUACAUUUAAAAGAAAAUAAAUGCUUUUCAAGUGGUAAUGAGCUACAGUGCUUCAAAACCAUGGAUGUCUAUAAACUAACAAAAGCUUAAAUAGCAAUGUCCAACCCUGAAGAAAAACAGUUGUUUUGGCCAUUCACACAAGAGAGCUGAAUUUGGGUGCAGAAGCUGAUGGAAUCAUGCACAAGCUACCUUUUUUCUCUAUGAAUGUAGGUUUAAAGAAGUUGUUAAUGCUUGCUCAUGUGUAGCACUCAGUGUUCCUUUAUGGUCAUGUAAAAAAUGUCAUCCUUGUAGAAGUGGUUUAGAACAAUUUCAGAAACUGUUCAAAAUACACCAGAAGAAUUUUUGCAACAUUAAGGUUCUAGGAAUAGUCUUAAACAUAGAAAGAAUUUGCAGUAAAAUAGUGAAUUUCUAUAGGAAGGGAGACGAGCAAUCCUAAAUCUCUGACACUCAGUUUAUCAGAUUGACAGCAUUCAAAAGAACAAGGACGCCUCUUUGAGAGAGGGAUUGAAGUGGCAGGAUUAAACUGAAAUAAAUAGCAGGAAAAGAGAGAAUAUGAUUAAAGGAAAGAUAAUGGAUUCAGAUGGCUACUGAGGCUUGGAUCAGAACAUGUAAUUGUUCGCUGGACUUUGAGCCAGAGUGCAGAGUGCCCUCUAACUAGUGCAGAUUGCUCCAAGUGAUUGGCUGCAAUCUUUGUCUUGCCUUGUGUUGUGCUUGUUUCCACUCGGAAAAAUCCCAGCCAGGUUUUUGUUCUGACAAUGACCAUUUGACUGCAGUACAAAGUGGUAAAGGCCUGUCUGAGCCAGGAACAGGGAAGUCAAAUUGUGGUCCAAGAGCACAUAGGAAUGGUGGGUAGGUGUUAAGAGAGGAUGAUAUGUGGCUAGGCUGAGUCUCAGUAAUUAAUGUCUGUUUUUGAACACAGCACUUAACACCCAUUUUGGCUGCAGAGAAGACUUGGAUGUUGCACUCAAGUUUACUUGAAUUUAUUGAUCAUGUUGUAAGUGGUAGGACAGAGGUGGAGAUAAACGUUACUUGCUGUGGUUGGUUAAUGAGAACUGUUUGACGUGGAUGAUAAAUCACUAUCAAGUUAAAACCUCUCUUUUCCAGAGGAAUCAAGUGAUUAUUUGUGAAAGACUUGGUUUACUGACUGUAUUUUUGGAGAUGGUUGGAAGGCUAAUGAGAUAAAAGUCUUCAUCUGCUCUGAAAGGUGAGGCUACUAUGGGAAGGAGGAAAAGCUUAAAUUUUAUUAAAAAUCAGUCACUGACUCCAGAGAAAAUUACUUAAAACCAAAGGCAAAAGGCUUAGGGUGAGCACUUGGUACUUGUGGCCAAACCCAGGACUGGAUUUGUGUAGCUUAGGCGUGGGGGUCAGUAAGGAGUGAUCCAGAAUUGUGCCAUCAGUGCAGUAAUCUCACCGUGACCUGAAUGACAAAACUUCACAGCUAACAGUAUCUUUUGGUAAUAAUUGUUGGCUCCUGUUGUCAGGGGCUAGUUUUGAAAGAAACAAGUGGUGUAUUAGUCAUUGAUAUAUGUAAGAGUAUUAGAUUGCUGAAUUAAUACCAACAUUCAUGUAUGUUAUAAACCUGAGUUAUUUUACGUGGGUUUAUUUUCCUGGUAAAGCAACACGUGACCCAGAAAAACACUGGAUUGCCAGAAGGCAGCUAUAACUAGCAGCUGUUCAACUGGCUGUGUUAGGAUGUUUUGAUUUAAAAACAAGCAACGCCUUGCAGUGCUGUUGUAAAGGGCUGGGAGAUUGCCAGUGAAAAUGGCAGGAUCUGAAAUAUUUAAAAACUUAGCUUGUCAGAAUCUCUCCGGAUCACCUUUUAGCUGAGCAGAAGGUACAGUACAGCUAUUAACAGAAUGCUGUCAUACUGAAAAUAUUUUACUUUGACCACAGUUUUCCUCUUGCUUUUGCAUGUGUGCUCUGUCCUAUUCUACCCUCUCAUUAUAAGCAACUUGAGUCUUUUGGGCCAUUUCAGUUGAGAAGGAUCUCAGAGCUCACUGAGCUAAUACCAGUUGCAUGAAAAUUAGUGGCUCAGUAGAGAAGAUAGAUCCAAGACUUCCUGUGCUUAGGGAAGCGUUGCCAAGGAAGUUUGGCCAGUCGGCAGGCGAGACAGGCCAAGCGCAGAUCUGUCAGUCUGCACACAUGGAACCUGGCAAAGCACUUGCUUUCUUUUGCUCAAGCAGUAGUUAGGGACAUAAAUAGGAGCUAAGCCUACUGCGUGUGAAAGGGGACCCUCGGGGGGUGCUGGGUCACUGGGCUCUGUGGGAGGAGUGAGUGGGAAGGUGGGAAGAGGAGAAGAGAAGACUGAAGUCUGCGGGGAAUUGGGAUUUAUUAGUUCCGCUUUAUACAGCCUUGUAAAUUUGGGGCAAUGUGCCUGCCUUGAGUUUAUAGCUAGUGAUGGAAGACUUGAAAUUAUUUUUCCUGUUUAAAAAAAAAAAAAAAAAAAAAAAAAGCCUAAACUUUCCAUUGCAUGUAGAGGAGCAAAUAACUAAAGAAAGAAAUACUCUGCAAGGAGGAGAGCCAAAUUUGCUGAAUGUCAAAUUUUGUUGCAUGUAGGAAUUAAGUGCUGUUGAGUGAAUUAAGUUCUUUGAACUGCUGUCACAUUAGCUGAUGUAAGCAAUAACUGCAGGUAAAACAAAUUCCAAAGAAUAACUAAAAAAUGAACUUUUAAAACCUUUGCAAUUCUCCACCAGAGGCAGAAGGAACUGCUUGGUUUGGUUACGUAACAGCAAACAGUAUUAAAACAGUUGAGGUCAGUUGUUUUCGCUGGCCCGUUUCAUCCAUGGAAAGAAAGAAUGCAGUGAGUGUACUUCAUCUUCGUAUUUAUUUAUACAUUUUAUUUAAAGCCUGCUGAGAGACCUUUAAAACUUUGUUUGUAAGGCAUGGUUUAUACAAUUUUUCUUCCACCUUCUCAAAAAAUAAAAAUGAUCUUUUUCCCUCCAAAGGGCUGCUGUAUCCUCCACACUCUAUCUCUUGCUGAAAAAACUCUAGAUGCCACAGGGCAGCAUGGCCAUGGCCAUGCAGUCAGAGGGAACUGCUGUUCCCUGACCUUCUGUUCUGCACUUGUGUAUUUUUAUGGUAUUAUUGGAAGAAGACUACCUUUUUUCUCAGUUGAGAUUUUUUUUUUCCCCUCUGUUUCCUGAAUAAAUGUAGUGCCAUGAAUAAAGUAAACAUUGCUGUCAGUCUC